This is a long non-coding RNA of Actinia tenebrosa (Australian red waratah sea anemone), 1014 nucleotides long. Lineage: Eukaryota; Metazoa; Cnidaria; Anthozoa; Actiniaria; Actiniidae. The record is from RefSeq and is a predicted model, not a curated record.
CCUUUCCUUGCACUCUUGCAGCUUACUUAAAGCUAUAUUAAGUGUAUUUUUUCAACAUUAAAAGUCUACCAUAUACAAAUACUUCAUCUUUUGUACGUUGUGUUUUCAUGCAUCAGUGAUGCUGUAAUAGAGGCGAGGGCUCCAAGUACUAACAUCGAAUAUGAAGACAACAAGGGAGACAUUUACCACGAAAUUGAACCGAGUAGACAAACCACUGCUACUGACAACCCUCUUUAUCAAAGCUCAGAUGAAGACAAACAUGUCUAUGCAAGUUUUGCAUGAUAAUCAAGACCUCAAAACAAAAAAACAUAGGUGGUUUCACAAAUGACAUAAAACAGUUAACUUUAUAGGAAUUGGGAGCUUAGUAUUGCUUUAAAUAGAUAGGAAUGCACUGGUGCUUUUGAGGAAGUUUACUGAUUCUGACACAUGAGUAAAAUAAUAUUUCAAACGUCUGUCGAAUAGGAAAAAAAACAAUUGCUGAUUAGCAGAGCCUCUUUAUUUCCACUUGCGCGAGUAAUGAGGAUCACUACUACCAUUAUACAAGGAAAAUAUAGCACAUUAUCCGGUAGAAAAAUAGGUGCAAAAAUAGUUGCAACAUGAAAUGCAUUAUGGCACUUAUUUUCCACUAGGAUAAUGUAUUUUAUGGCUAAAAGCGUCCCAUGACAAGUAAAAAUUACGUCACCGCAAAGGAAGUUUUUCUUCGAUCAUUUUUCCGCAUUAGCAUUUGGGAUCGAUCGCAAUUUUUUAUUUCUGGUCUUGAGCUUCAGUACUACAUUAUUAUCAUAGAUAACAAUUUAAAAUAUACGGAUCAAUGUUUUAUUAUGUUUUAAUUGUAUUGCAUGAUAAAGAGUCUAUGAGAUAACUCGGGCAUGAUAACAGCUAGUUCUGAUAGUCAAUUGAUACUUCACAAUUUUGGUAGAUUAGAUUUUUCAAACAUUGAGUAGUAAAUAUGUACAAAAUAUUGAUAGAAAAUUGUGAAUUGAGUGUUUAUUCCGAUAAAUAAUUUCAACUUAA